CCCUUAACUGGCCUCGACGGUUCCCCUACCCAUGAGGUGGAGGGGAAUAAUAGGGAACACGGUGCGGACGACCCGCAUGGGACCAAAACCGUGGCUGCCCCCGCAACUGUAAGCGGAUUGCCGUCCAUCCUCGUGGCGCAUAGCGCCAUGCCACUGUGCGGACAGCACGGGAAGGCAGAUGGACAGCGGAUAUUCGUGAGCCAGGAGACCUGCCGUCACCUAUCGAUCCAU
RNAcentral lists this non-coding RNA (231 nucleotides) under Rhizobium sp. Lineage: Bacteria; Pseudomonadati; Pseudomonadota; Alphaproteobacteria; Hyphomicrobiales; Rhizobiaceae. RNAcentral also lists the same sequence under 1 other name. The record is from RNAcentral.